GAGUUUGAUCAUGGCUCAGGACGAACGCUGGCGGCGUGCUUAACACAUGCAAGUCGAGCGCUGAAGCCUUUCGGGUGGAUGAGCGGCGAACGGGGUGAGUAACACGUGGGUGACCUGCCCUCAGCUCUGGGAUAAGCCUGGGAAACUGGGUCUAAUACCGGAUAUGACCUCUCAUCGCAUGGUGGGGGGUGGAAAGUUUUUCGGCUGGGGAUGGGCCCGCGGCCUAUCAGCUUGUUGGUGGGGUGAUGGCUUACCAAGGAGACGACGGGUAGCCGGCCUGAGAGGGCGACCGGCCACACUGGGACUGAGACACGGCCCAGACUCCUACGGGAGGCAGCAGUGGGGAAUAUUGCGCAAUGGGCGGAAGCCUGACGCAGCGACGCCGCGUGGGGGAUGACGGCCUCGGUUGUAACGU
This 415-nucleotide ribosomal RNA is filed under the name uncultured bacterium. RNAcentral describes it as "bacterial SSU rRNA". It matches the Rfam family "Bacterial small subunit ribosomal RNA", at positions 9 to 431 of the family's 1533-position model. The record is from RNAcentral.